GUUGAACGCUGGCGGCGUGCCUAAUACAUGCAAGUCGAGCGAACAGACGAGGAGCUUGCUCCUUUGACGUUAGCGGCGGACGGGUGAGUAACACGUGGAUAACCUACCUAUAAGACUGGGAUAACUUCGGGAAACCGGAGCUAAUACCGGAUAACAUGUUGAACCGCAUGGUUCAACAGUGAAAGACGGUCUUGCUGUCACUUAUAGAUGGAUCCGCGCCGCAUUAGCUAGUUGGUAAGGUAACGGCUUACCAAGGCAACGAUGCGUAGCCGACCUGAGAGGGUGAUCGGCCACACUGGAACUGAGACACGGUCCAGACUCCUACGGGAGGCAGCAGUAGGGAAUCUUCCGCAAUGGGCGAAAGCCUGACGGAGCAACGCCGCGUGAGUGAAGAAGGUCUUCGGAUCGUAAAACUCUGUUAUUAGGGAAGAACAAAUGUGUAAGUAACUAUGCACGUCUUGACGGUACCUAAUCAGAAAGCCACGGCUAACUACGUG
This 497-nucleotide ribosomal RNA is filed under the name uncultured bacterium. RNAcentral describes it as "partial 16S ribosomal RNA". It matches the Rfam family "Bacterial small subunit ribosomal RNA", at positions 28 to 507 of the family's 1533-position model. The record is from RNAcentral.